Molecule: unclassified non-coding RNA, 299 nt
Filed under: uncultured fungus
Lineage: Eukaryota; Fungi
Description: partial contains small subunit ribosomal RNA, internal transcribed spacer 1, and 5.8S ribosomal RNA
Rfam family: Eukaryotic small subunit ribosomal RNA (bases 1-73)
Source: RNAcentral
GCAAACUUGGUCAUUUAGAGGAAGUAAAAGUCGUAACAAGGUUUCCGUAGGUGAACCUGCGGAAGGAUCAUUACCGAGUAGGGCUCCGGCCCGACCUCCAACCCUUUGUUUACAUACCAACGUUGCUUCGGCAGGCCCGCCGACCUUUGCUCGCAGAGGGAGGCCGCCGGCGGUUCGCCUCUGGCCCGCGCCUGUCGACGCCCCCCAAACUCAUGCCAAACGUGUCGUCUGAGUAACAAACAAUAAACAAAACUUUCAACAACGGAUCUCUUGGUUCUGGCAUCGAUGAAGAACGCAGC